Molecule: ribosomal RNA, 907 nt
Filed under: Staphylococcus epidermidis
Lineage: Bacteria; Bacillati; Bacillota; Bacilli; Caryophanales; Staphylococcaceae
Description: bacterial LSU rRNA
Rfam family: Bacterial large subunit ribosomal RNA
Source: RNAcentral
AGCUAAGGUCCCAAAAUAUAUGUUAAGUGGAAAAGGAUGUGGCGUUGCCCAGACAACUAGGAUGUUGGCUUAGAAGCAGCCAUCAUUUAAAGAGUGCGUAAUAGCUCACUAGUCGAGUGACACUGCGCCGAAAAUGUACCGGGGCUAAACAUAUUACCGAAGCUGUGGAUUGUCCUUUGGACAAUGGUAGGAGAGCGUUCUAAGGGCGUCGAAGCAUGAUCGCAAGGACAUGUGGAGCGCUUAGAAGUGAGAAUGCCGGUGUGAGUAGCGAAAGACGGGUGAGAAUCCCGUCCACCGAUUGACUAAGGUUUCCAGAGGAAGGCUCGUCCGCUCUGGGUUAGUCGGGUCCUAAGCUGAGGCCGACAGGCGUAGGCGAUGGUAACAGGUUGUAUUCCUGUACCACCUAGUAUCGUUUUAAUCGAUGGGGGGACGCAGUAGGAUAGGCGAAGGUGCUGUUGGAGUGCACGUUCAAGCAGUAAGGCUGAGUGUUAGGCAAAUCCGGCACUCAUAAGGCUGAGCUGUGAUGGGGAGAGGAAAUUGUUUCCUCGAGUCGUUGAUUUCACACUGCCGAGAAAAGCCUCUAGAUAGAUAACAGGUGCCCGUACCGCAAACCGACACAGGUAGUCAAGAUGAGAAUUCUAAGGUGAGCGAGCGAACUCUCGUUAAGGAACUCGGCAAAAUGACCCCGUAACUUCGGGAGAAGGGGUGCUCUUUAGGGUUCACGCCCAGAAGAGCCGCAGUGAAUAGGCCCAAGCGACUGUUUAUCAAAAACACAGGUCUCUGCUAAACCGUAAGGUGAUGUAUAGGGGCUGACGCCUGCCCGGUGCUGGAAGGUUAAGAGGAGUGGUUAGCUUCUGCGAAGCUACGAAUCGAAGCCCCAGUAAACGGCGGCCGUAACUAUAACGGU